Molecule: non-coding RNA, 235 nt
Organism: Paramuricea clavata
Lineage: Eukaryota; Metazoa; Cnidaria; Anthozoa; Malacalcyonacea; Plexauridae
Source: the annotation of a GenBank genome assembly
GACUCCCUUGCGCAUGCGUCUAUAUCCAGUACUUCAUAUAAUCAAUAUAUAACAACUGCCCCCUCUUUAAGUGUCCCUGCACUGUAAACGUUAAACCCGUAACAUAACACAACAAUCUACCUAAGUUCAAAAUGUUUUUACUAUUCAGUAAACCUUUUAGGAGGUUUACGCUCACGUAAAGGAUACCUUCUUGUGGACUCGUUUGGUGUAACGUUAAUAAGUAAGUCCAUUUUAC